AAAAGGGGCUUCUGACCUGAGUGGCACACAUAGGGCAACUAACUCACUCUGAGUAUAGAAUCAACAUCAAGAGUUUCGGAGCAUAAUUUAUUGUCAGUAGGGCAGCUGUUGGUCCUGGAGGUCCUCACUCAA
This 132-nucleotide small nuclear RNA is filed under the name Sorex araneus (European shrew). RNAcentral describes it as "U11 spliceosomal RNA (ENSSARG00000018912.1)". It matches the Rfam family "U11 spliceosomal RNA". The record is from RNAcentral. Lineage: Eukaryota; Metazoa; Chordata; Mammalia; Eulipotyphla; Soricidae.